GAAUUAUUUAAAACGACUCUCGGCAACGGAUAUCUAGGCUCUCGCAUCGAUGAAGAACGUAGCGAAAUGCGAUACUUGGUGUGAAUUGCAGAAUCCCGCGAAUCAUCGAGUUUUUGAACGCAAGUUGCGCCCGAAACCAUUCGGCCGAGGGCACGUCUGCCUGGGUGUCACGC
Molecule: ribosomal RNA, 173 nt
Filed under: Quercus ilex
Lineage: Eukaryota; Viridiplantae; Streptophyta; Magnoliopsida; Fagales; Fagaceae
Description: 5.8S ribosomal RNA
Rfam family: 5.8S ribosomal RNA
About the family: 5.8S ribosomal RNA (5.8S rRNA) is a component of the large subunit of the eukaryotic ribosome. It is transcribed by RNA polymerase I as part of the 45S precursor that also contains 18S and 28S rRNA.
Source: RNAcentral